Molecule: transfer RNA, 100 nt
Filed under: Melampsora larici-populina 98AG31
Lineage: Eukaryota; Fungi; Basidiomycota; Pucciniomycetes; Pucciniales; Melampsoraceae
Description: tRNA-Pro for anticodon AGG
Source: RNAcentral
GGCCUGAUGGUCUAGUAGUAUGAUUCACCCUUAGGGCUGGCGGUAUUCACUGCUUCGCACUGAUUGGGUGAGGUCCCGGGUUCAAUUCCCGGUCAAGCCC